RNAcentral lists this ribosomal RNA (308 nucleotides) under uncultured eukaryote. RNAcentral's name for it is "partial 18S ribosomal RNA". It matches the Rfam family "Eukaryotic small subunit ribosomal RNA", at positions 1470 to 1796 of the family's 1831-position model. The record is from RNAcentral.
CCCUUAGACGUUCUGGGCCGCACGCGCGCUACACUGACGAAGGCAACGAGCUUUCCUUUACCGAAAGGUACGGGUAAUCUUUUGAAACUUCGUCGUGCUGUGGAUAGAUCCUUGCAAUUUUUGAUCUUAAACGAGGAAUGCCUAGUAAGCGCAAGUCAUCAACUUGCGUUGAUUACGUCCCUGCCCUUUGUACACACCGCCCGUCGCUACUACCGAUUGAAUGGUUUAGUGAGGCCUUCGGAUCCGCGACUCGUUUUGUGGAGAAGUUGGACAAACUCAGUCAUUUAGAGGAAGUAAAAGUCGUAACA